AGACGUCUACAUUAGAUACCCCGGUAGUCCUAGCCGUAAACGAUACUCGCUAGGUGUCGGCCACGGUGCGACCGUUGUCGGUGCCGUAGGGAAGCCGUGAAGCGAGCCACCUGGGAAGUACGGCCGCAAGGCUGAAACUUAAAGGAAUUGGCGGGGGAGCACAGCAACGGGUGGAGCUUGCGGUUUAAUUGGACUCAACGCCGGGAAGCUUACCGGAUAAGACAGCGGAAUGAUUGCCGGGCUGAAGACCCUGCAUGACCAGCUG
Molecule: ribosomal RNA, 265 nt
Filed under: uncultured archaeon
Lineage: Archaea
Description: partial 16S ribosomal RNA
Rfam family: Archaeal small subunit ribosomal RNA
Source: RNAcentral